Poeciliopsis prolifica (blackstripe livebearer) is the source of this 498-nucleotide long non-coding RNA. RefSeq lists it as uncharacterized. Lineage: Eukaryota; Metazoa; Chordata; Actinopteri; Cyprinodontiformes; Poeciliidae. The record is from RefSeq and is a predicted model, not a curated record. The transcript is spliced from 2 exons.
CUGACUAGAGAGAGAUAUAGCACAUAAACUCACAGUGACCUGCCCACUCCUCCAUCUCCAAAUUAUGGAGGCGAUGACGGUCAAGAAACGAGACAAACGUCCAAGUUGGAGAGGAAGGGAAACCCGGUUCCCGCUCCCCCCAAGGAUCGCCUGCAGAGCCACAUGCUGAUCCGAUGCUAUGCUGUGUCACAGGUCAAAGUUCACAAGGUUGGAGAGGGAGUGGGAGGGGGUCGGUCGCUGUGUCCUCACAUCCGUCUUGAUUCAUUCGAGGUCUGGAAGUAGUCAGUGGCCAGACCUCCUUUUCCUUCUGCAAACUGUCUGUCCGUUCCUGACAAACAGCCAGAUCAGACGAGAGCUUAAAGCCGUGUCGGCGCUGAGUGGCCUGACGUGAUCCACCAGGGGAGACACUCGUUGUCUCCCUGCAACAAACAACACCUUCUUUCUCCAAGAUAUUAUUGCUGCAGUGACAAAAAAAUAAAAAAUAAAAGAAAGAUUGAA